UGAGUUUGAUCUUGGCUCUUGAUGAAUGCUUGCACCACGCUUAAUACAUUGCUAGUAGAACGAUUUUUANAAAUAGUUGCGCAGAGGUGAGUAAAACAGAAGAAUUGUAAUUUUUAGUUUCAAGAAUAAAAGGNUAUUNUAUANAUUAAAGCAAUGCUUUACCUUAAUACUUUNAAAAGUUUNCUUUGCUAAUUAAACAGCUUCUGUAAAUUUAUGGUUGUUGGUUAUGGUAAAAGCUAACCAAGCCGAUGAUUUUUAGUUGGUCUUAGCGGAUGAUCAACCACAUUGGAAUUGAAAUAGUUCCAACUCUUUUUACAGAGCAGCAGUAGGGAAUCUUGGACAAUGCGCUAACGCGUGAUCCAGCGAUGGUGCGUGAAUGAAGACAAUUUUUUAUGAAUUGUAAAGUUCUUUUAUUGGCUAAAAAAAUGAUAUAACCAAAGAAAAAGCCCUUACCAAUAUGCGUGCCAGCAGUAGCGGUAAUACGUGAAGGGUUAGCAUUAUCAAUUAUUAUUGGGUGUAAAACAUUUGAAGGUGGCAUACAUGGUUGUUAAGCAUUUAAAAUUGUAGGUAACUGUAAUCUUGUGCUUAAAACACUGUUGCUUGGAGUUUAAAAGAGGAUAGUAUAACUAAACAAAUAGGCGUGAAAACUGAUGAAAUGUUUAAGAAUAUCAAAGGCGAAGGCAACUAUCUGGUUUUAUUACUGACACUAAAAAAUGAAGGCUUCGGUAGCAAAUCGGAUUAGAGACCCGAGUAGUCGAAUUGCUGUAAACGAUGGGUUCCAAUGAUUUGAAAAUUUAGAUUAUUAGGCUAACGCUAAAGAACCCUACCUGAAAAUUAAAACCGCAAGGUUGAAAUUCAAAAGAAUUGGCGGGAGCUUACAAAGAUGCUGGAUUGUGUGGUUUAAUUCGAUACUACGCGAAAAAUCUUACCAGUUUUUGCAUAAUACGUGUUUUGUUUGAUAAAAACUAAACAGUUUAAAUGUAAACAAGUAUAUACAGGUGUUGCACGGCUGUCGUCAACUCGUGCCGUAAGGUGUUUCGUUAACUCGAUAAACGGGUGUAACCCCACUGCUGAUAAAUUAGAUUCAGUAAAUUUUUUGCCUGAAGCAAAAUGAAAUGGGAUUACGACAAGCACUCGUGACCUUUAUAAACUGGGCUACUCACGCAAUACAAUAUUAACUACAAAACGAAGCGAUAAUGUACAAUUGGAGCAAACGUGAAAGGUUAAUUAUGUUCGGAUUAUAUGCUGAAAUCGCGUAUAUGAAGUUGGAAUCAUUAGUAAUCGGAAAUCAUCAUGUUUCGGUGAAUAACACUUUUAAGCUUUGCACACACCGCCCGUCACACGCUGGAAGUUUGUUUCUUUUGAAGAUUUGAUUGAGACNNUUUGUUUGAUUAACANGNUGANCAGUCAACUCCAUAAAAAAGNAAAUGACUAGAGUGAAGUCGUAACAAGGUAA
Molecule: ribosomal RNA, 1456 nt
Filed under: metagenome
Description: bacterial SSU rRNA
Rfam family: Bacterial small subunit ribosomal RNA
Source: RNAcentral